Molecule: ribosomal RNA, 427 nt
Filed under: uncultured bacterium
Lineage: Bacteria
Description: partial 16S ribosomal RNA
Rfam family: Bacterial small subunit ribosomal RNA
Source: RNAcentral
UGGGGAAUAUUGCACAAUGGGCGCAAGCCUGAUGCAGCCAUGCCGCGUGUAUGAAGAAGGCCUUCGGGUUGUAAAGUACUUUCAGCGGGGAGGAAGGUGUUGAGGUUAAUAACCUCAGCAAUUGACGUUACCCGCAGAAGAAGCACCGGCUAACUCCGUGCCAGCAGCCGCGGUAAUACGGAGGGUGCAAGCGUUAAUCGGAAUUACUGGGCGUAAAGCGCACGCAGGCGGUCUGUCAAGUCGGAUGUGAAAUCCCCGGGCUCAACCUGGGAACUGCAUUCGAAACUGGCAUGCUAGAGUCUUGUAGAGGGGGGUAGAAUUCCAGGUGUAGCGGUGAAAUGCGUAGAGAUCUGGAGGAAUACCGGUGGCGAAGGCGGCCCCCUGGACAAAGACUGACGCUCAGGUGCGAAAGCGUGGGGAGCAAACA